This 530-nucleotide ribosomal RNA is filed under the name uncultured fungus. RNAcentral describes it as "eukaryotic LSU rRNA". The stretch from base 178 to 331 matches the Rfam family "5.8S ribosomal RNA". The record is from RNAcentral. Lineage: Eukaryota; Fungi.
CAGCGGAGGAUCAUUACAGAGAUCAUGCCCUCACGGGUAGACCUCCCACCCUGUAUAAUUUACUCUUGUUGCUUUGGCAGGCCGCCUUCGGGCCCCCGGCAGUUUUGCUGGGGAGCGCCUGCCAGAGGACCCCAACUCUUAUAUUUAAUGUCGUCUGAGAACUAUAUAAUAAGUUAAAACUUUCAACAACGGAUCUCUUGGUUCUGGCAUCGAUGAAGAACGCAGCGAAAUGCGAUAAGUAAUGUGAAUUGCAGAAUUCAGUGAAUCAUCGAAUCUUUGAACGCACAUUGCGCCCCUUGGUAUUCCGGGGGGCAUGCCUGUUCGAGCGUCAUUUCAACCCUCAAGCUUAGCUUGGUCUUGGGCUCUGCCGGCAACGGCUGGCCUUAAAAUCAGUGGCGGUGCCAUCGAGCUCUACGCGUAGUAAUUAAACCCUCGCGUGUGAGUCCCGGUGAACGCUUGCCAGUAACCCCUAUUUUCUAUGGUUGACCUCGGAUCAGGUAGGGAUACCCGCUGAACUUAAGCAUAUCAAU